AUUUACAUGGAGGUAGAGGUUGGUAAGCUACAAUCGAUGUUCCACAAAGUGGACUAUGAACUGGAUUAUAUUCAACACAGGCUGGAUAUGAAAUAAAGACUAAUCACCUUGACUGGGCAGGAGAGAAAAAUCCAGUUACACUCCUAAAGGAAUUAGCAGCCAUUCAGCCUUGACAUCAGAUUAUGUCCACAGUGUUCAGCCAGCAGAUGCCGACUACUAAGCAGGAGGCCAAGUGCCUCGUCUGUGUUGCUCUGCGCAAGGCUAUGACCUCCGUGCAAGAACUGCAGAGGCACAGGGACCCAGCUGUCACCACCAACUGAGGAAGAGAAUAGCGCCGCCCAGCAACUAACAUCCC
This 355-nucleotide long non-coding RNA is filed under the name Homo sapiens (human). RNAcentral's name for it is "non-protein coding lnc-CCDC92-2:1". The record is from RNAcentral. Lineage: Eukaryota; Metazoa; Chordata; Mammalia; Primates; Hominidae.